Molecule: long non-coding RNA, 458 nt
Organism: Rosa rugosa (rugosa rose)
Lineage: Eukaryota; Viridiplantae; Streptophyta; Magnoliopsida; Rosales; Rosaceae
Exons: 3
Source: RefSeq, a predicted model, not a curated record
CAGAACCUCUACUCCACUUUCCGGUCCAAGCUUCUUCUCACGAGCACGUUUCCUUGCCAAUACCAAGGGCUUUGAUGAUGGAGGAAGCACACUAUUUGAUGACACCAAGACAGGGAAAUUCUUUGCCUUUUCAGGAGAACUGUUGCGCUAUAGGGGCUGCAAUGGAAACAAUCCAAGUCAGACUAAACAAGAGGAAAAAAUUAAGGUUGUGAGCGUACGCACCUCGAGAAUUCGUCAACUCUGCAGCCACAAAUUAUAGAGUGGAAACAGGAUGAUUACCAAACCCCUCAGGCAACAAGGAAAAGGCUGAUUAUUAGAUAUAUGAAAUAUCUAGUUGAUAGAACCCCUUGGUAUUGUACUUGAAUUUUUGUGAAAAACCAACAACUAAAAGUAAGCUUCUAAAUUGUCCUCACCUUAUUUUCUCAUGAAAGAGAAUCAGGUUAUCUUCUUCUGAACCU